AAAUAAAUUAUUUAUGUUUUAAAAAUUUUAUUAUGAAUUUAUUUUACAUAUAAAUUUUAGUAUAAAAUUUUAAUUAUUUUAAUAAUAAUUAAUUAUUUAAGUAGUAAUUAAUAUUAAAAAUUUAAGAAAUUAAGAUUUAGUAAUAUAAAAAUUAAUAACUAAUUUUGUGCCAGCAGUUGCGGUUAUACAAAAAUUAAAUUAAAUUAUUUCAGUUUAUAAUUAAUAAAUUUAAAUUUAAAUUAAAUAUUAAAUUAUUAAGUGAAAUUUUAAUUUAAUUAAAUUUUAUUUUUAAAUUAUGAAUUAAUAAAUUUUAAUAUAAACUAGGAUUAGAUACCCUAUUAUUAAAAAUUUAAUUUAUAAUACUAAAAUAGUAAAUAAAUAUAUAUUGAAACUUGAAUAAAAUGGCGGUAUUUUAGUUCAUUUAGAGGAAUCUGUCUAAUAAUUGAUAAUCCACGAAUAAAUUUACUUAAUUUUAAAUUUUGUAUAUCAUUGUUAAAAAAAUAUUUUAAAAUAAGAAUAAUAUUUUAAAAUUUUAAUAUAAAAUUAAUUCAGAUCAAGAUGCAGAUUAUAAUUAAGAAUAUGAUGGAUUACAAUAAAUAUAUUUAAAUGAAUAAUAUUAUUGUAAAAUAUAUUUAAAAGUGGAUUUAAAUGUAAUUUUAAUUAAUUUAUUAAAAUGAUUAAAAAUUAAAAUAUGUACAUAUUGCCCGUCACUUUCAUUUAAAAAUUGAAAUAAGUCGUAACAAAGUAGAGGUACUGGAAAGUGUUUCUAGAAAGGA
This 776-nucleotide non-coding RNA is filed under the name Timelaea maculata. The record is from RNAcentral. Lineage: Eukaryota; Metazoa; Arthropoda; Insecta; Lepidoptera; Nymphalidae.